Molecule: ribosomal RNA, 388 nt
Filed under: uncultured bacterium
Lineage: Bacteria
Description: bacterial SSU rRNA
Rfam family: Bacterial small subunit ribosomal RNA
Source: RNAcentral
UCGGGAAUUUUGGGCAAUGGGCGAAAGCCUGACCCAGCAACGCCGCGUGAAGGAUGAAGUAUUUCGGUAUGUAAACUUCGAAAGAAUAGGAAGAAUAAAUGACGGUACUAUUUAUAAGGUCCGGCUAACUACGUGCCAGCAGCCGCGGUAAUACGUAGGGACCAAGCGUUGUUCGGAUUUACUGGGCGUAAAGGGCGCGUAGGCGGCAAUUCAAGUCAUCUGUGAAAUCUCCGGGCUUAACUCGGAACGGUCAGAUGAUACUGCUUUGCUAGAGUGCAGAAGGGGCAAUCGGAAUUCUUGGUGUAGCGGUGAAAUGCGUAGAUAUCAAGAGGAACACCUGAGGUGAAGACGGGUUGCUGGGGCUGACACUGACGCUGAGGCGCGAAAA